UGUAACACAAAUUUCCACUUUCUCAUUUUAUCUCUCUCUCUCUCUGUCCAAUUUCAAGCUUUGUGUCAUCUUUUCGCAUCAUGUCUUGAUCUCUCCAAAUUUUCAUGCGUUAAAGGCCAUGUUCAUAACUUAAAUCAAUGAAAAUUUCCUUCAUAACGUGAUUCAGCUUCUUGUUGUAGGACUAGAAGGAGUUUCUCUGUUUCACCUACUACGUCACAAGAAAACAUGAUGGGAGACUCCUCGAGUUCAAGCUCUUGGAGCAGUCAAACGGAUACUCAGGAUGAUCGGAUGAUUGCUCUUAUGUUAUCUGAAGAAUACACUAAACUAGAUGGUGCAGUAGGCAGACGCCUCUCCAAUCUUGCUCCCGUUCCCGUAAGCUUGGUUCUAGUCCCCUUCCUACAACCAAAUGCAAUUGUAUAGCUAUUCUACACGUUUCUUGUUUUGCAGCAUGUUCCGCGGAUAAAUUCUUAUAUUCCCAACUUAAAUGAUGCCACCUUGGAUCACCAACGCCUUCUUCAAAGGUUCUUUCCCAUAUGCUCGCUCUCUUUUCUUAACAUAACUAGGAGGACUCUCGCUCGUUGUUGUGGAUAUGUUAGUAUACUCAUUCUAUAAUGUUUACUCCUAGACAAGUCAAACUGAGAUUAAUCCCCUAUGAUACACUUUCUUUCAUUGUUAAUUCUUAAGUUUGAUCUUCCUCGCAGGCUAAAUGUUUAUGGUUUGUGUGAGUUGAAGGUCUCUGGUGAUGGAAACUGCCAGGUGAAUAGAGGCUAAAUUUCAAACAAAUCUUCUUUAUCUCUUUCUUUUCUCUCUCUAGUCGUAUACUCAUAUAUCUUUUUGAGUGUCUUUCAGUUCCGAGCUCUUUCUGACCAGUUGUACCGAUCUUCAGAGUACCACAAGCAAGUUAGGGGAGAAGUUGUUAAACAGGUUAGAUGUCUUAUGAGUUAUGACGAUGAUCAAAGAGAGAGAGUGAUGACUGUCUUUUAUGAUUUUCAUUAAACCAUUGUUGCAAUUGAACAAAUGGAUUUAGUACCUGUUUCAGUAUUAGGUGCACACAUUCCUUUUCGUACGUCAUUUCCUAGUUAUUCUGUUGUUUUUGUCUUGUUGCUACAGCUCAAGGACAAUCGCACUAUAUACGAAAGUUAUGUUCUGAUGAAAUACAAACGGUAUUACAAGAGGAUGGCAAAGUAAGUUAUUUUCAUUUCUCCUCUAAGCCAUAAUUGGUUUGAUCUUUAAAUUUUUCUGUUUCAAAUUCAAAAUUACAUGAAUGAAUGACAGACUUGGAGAAUGGGGAGACCAUAUUACCCUACAAGCUGCGGCAGAUAGGGUAAUUUUCCUUUUUUGUCUCAGUUUUCACAGCACUUGUAUUAAUAGUUAAAAUGUACCUAAAUGAUCUUUCCUUUGUUCUCGUAUCACCUGCUCUAGUUCUGUUGAUGUUUUUUACCCCCUAUCUAGUCUUCUUCAUGUCCUUUGUUUCAUAAGCAUGUUACAUGAAAUAGGUAACACUUUAGCACAUCUUCGAGAACGCAUGUAAAGUAAUCGCUGACUUUUGUGGCAUUAGGCACUGUUUUCUUUACCUUUUUCUUAACAAUUUUUUCCAUUGCAUCUCCCUUGAAUAGUUUGCAGCAAAGAUAUGCCUGCUGACAUCCUUCAGAGACACUUGCUUCAUUGAAAUUAUGCCUCGAGACCAAGCACCUAAGCGUGGUGAGACUCUAUAAUAUAUUUCUUUUCACCUUCACUCAUCGCUACUUGAUCUUAAGUAGCAUAUGGAAAAUGCACUCUUACAAAGUUGUGGCUUUAUAUGUUUGGAAUGGUGCAGAGUUAUGGUUAAGUUUCUGGUCAGAGGUGCAUUAUAACUCUUUAUACGAUAAUCAAGGUUUGUCUUUGUGCUUACGAAGUGUAACAAAAUGGUGGCUUUGUGCUUGAGGACACUGAUUAUGAUCUUCUUUCUGAGUGCAGCGGUUCCAGUUCAGCAGAAGCCAAAGAGAAAACAUUGGUUGUUCUAGAAAGCAAGCCUCUCACAUUGAUAACAUCUUCGAAUUUAAGGCCAUGUUCAUAACUUAAAUCAAUGAAAAUUUCCUUCAUAACGUGAUUCAGCUUCUUGUUGUAGGACUAGAAGGAGUUUCUCUGUUUCACCUACUACGUCACAAGAAAACAUGAUGGGAGACUCCUCGAGUUCAAGCUCUUGGAGCAGUCAAACGGAUACUCAGGAUGAUCGGAUGAUUGCUCUUAUGUUAUCUGAAGAAUACACUAAACUAGAUGGUGCAGUAGGCAGACGCCUCUCCAAUCUUGCUCCCGUUCCCGUAAGCUUGGUUCUAGUCCCCUUCCUACAACCAAAUGCAAUUGUAUAGCUAUUCU
RNAcentral lists this long non-coding RNA (2355 nucleotides) under Brassica napus (rape). RNAcentral's name for it is "long non-coding RNA (BNAP_LNC026642)". The record is from RNAcentral. Lineage: Eukaryota; Viridiplantae; Streptophyta; Magnoliopsida; Brassicales; Brassicaceae.